GGGUUCUUCUUCCUAGACAGAGGAAGGACAAAUGCCAAAUUUUUCUACUAAGACUUUACUUUUGAACUUUUUAAAUUUAUGCCUUUCCUUUACUGACUAAUGAUUUACUUCUCUAUUAAAUGAUUUAAUAGAUUUCCUACUAUCUUAUAAGCCUUGAAUGGGCUGACUUUGUAAAGAUCCUACUGCUUCAAUGCCAUGAGGUCACUCACAUUUUCUUUAUUCCUACAUGGGCAACCCAUCCUCAUUAAAAGUAAAAUGAAAGCCACCAGGUGACCCUCAUUGAUAUUAAUUCUGAACCUAAGACAAGUUACGAUUUAGAAUUUUCUUCAGACAACUGAGGGGUCUAGGUUAACCUAAGGUUUCAUUAAUCCUGAGUUAAGUCUUUAUUAAUCUUAAACACCAUUAAGUUCAAUAGGCUAUUACUGAUAUUUUAUAGAAUGCUACGGAUUAGGCAUAACCUCUAUUCCCUGCCCUUUGAGAACAUGAAAAUGAAGGGAAUGUAGGUGAAAGGACUUUGGAUGUGAAAUACAUAAAGUGAAUAUAUAACCCAGUCUGAGGGUUACCAAAAGCCUCCUGGUGAAUGUAAUAUCUGAAUUAAGCCUUAAAGAAUAAACGAAAGUAAGGCAUUCAAAAAAUGUAGGUAAGGCAUUGUAGGCAUAUGUAAUGUAACUUCUCUCCCCAAAAUCAAUGUAAAUGAAUAGUGUUAUAGUAAAAUUUGGGGUCAAAUAGUAGUAAGGCUGCUAGGAUUAACUAGAGAGGACAAGACCACGGAGAGUUUAUAGGCAAUCUGUGAAGCUUGGCUUUAUCCCGUUUGGGUCUGGAAGACAUUGAUGAACUUAGAGUACCAUCAUGUUUUCACUUCCGUUUUAAAUAAAAUACUUGACUGGUGAUGUGGAAAACAGACUUAAAGAUCAAAAGCUUGUAGACAUUAGAAACAGUUAAGAAAUUGCCAUGGUGACAGAGAAAAGACAACUUAAGUCUCUGAAUUAGGACACUAGGGAACAAGAGGUAAAGACUGAUAUUUAGAAAGUGAAUUUUACCUUUAAAAAAAAAACUAAUGUCUGUAAGGUUUUUAUGUACAUUAUGUACAUAUAUAAUCUGUAUCUAAAUACAUAUUUGCUUCUUCAAUGUGUAAGUUUGUAUAGUCAGUCUAAUAAUUUUGAAUAUUUAUGAAAACAGUUAAUAACCCAAAUUCCCUUUCAUAGGAUGAAUUACAUUGUGGAUUUUUAAAAGAAUGAGUUAGGAAAUAUAUACAUAUAAAUAUAUCACAUGAAGAUUUGGAUUUUAAUUAUAUAUGAAAAAAUUAAAUUUGUGAAGCACUAUCAUUAUUUGUUUCAUAAUAUAUAUUUACAAAUAUAUGGAAAUGAGAAUGAAGAUAUGCUAUAAACUACCUCUAACUUUGGGAGAUGAGAUUAUAGAUGUAUUUCUCUUUUUAGGUUAUUUAUUUCUAUAUUGUGAGUUUUUUUCCAAGUGGAUUGUUUUGAUAUUAUCUUUUAGAAAAUGUAUGCUGUGAUAUUUAAAGAACCAAGUUUUGUAGGAAUUGUAAACAAUUGGUUGAGGGAAUGGUGGAAAAUGAAAUGUCAAGAUUGAUUCUCUCUUUAUCUUUUUAAAAACUAAGUUCUUAAGAUGGAUUUUAGUGUCACCAGUUGAGUGGGAAAUUGCAAAGGAAGAAUAUUUUUGAUUUCUGGGACAGGAGGGAGAUAGUGAUUUAUUUAUUUAUUUUUACAUUAAAUAUUUGAUGUAUUUCUAGAAUAUGCAGGGGAAGAUUUCUCACCUUUGAAAGGAACUGGAACCAGAGAUAUAGACUAAGAUUCAAUAAUCUAUAAGUAGCCAUCAAAGAUUAUAGUUGAAAAUUAUUACAUAAACAGUUAUGUGAGUUUAUAAGGAGUAGAUGGUUCACUCAGUGAAAAGAUAUGUUAAGACAAACCAGACUCUGAAAAAAGGUUUUCUGGCAUAAAUAAUAGAAGUUCGAGCCAAAGUGGGCAAAAAAGAUCAUCUAAAGCACCAACUCUCCUGUUUUCCAAAAAGAAACUGAAGAUCCAGAGGGAAUGACUCACCGAAAACCACUUGGUUAAUUAGAGGCAGAACCAGGAUAAGCAAGCAGAGCAAUUCUGCAGAUUCUCAGUUCAUUUGUUUCUCUUUCUUUAUGCUUCCACAUGAGUUUGGCUUCCAAUUUUAUAGCAUUUUACCAUUUUAUAAACUCUUAAAUAUACAUGAUCUAUUUUGAACUUCACAGCAAAUGUUAAAUACAAGAGGCAGAUGGUUAGUCCACCUUUAUAGCUAAUACAAAGUUCAAUAACUUUUGACAAAGUUGAGUGUUUGGCAAUGGACAGAGCCAGAAUUCGAACCAGGGUUUUCCACAGACAAUUCUGGCUCUCUUCCACAUCAUCAAUCACAUAAAAGCAUUCUUUAGUUUACUCAUUUAGCUCUUGGCUCAAGUCUGUCAUCCCAGGAUUUGAAAGGACAGAAGACUGGAGUUUUCAUUUGAGGUAUGUUCUUGUUUGAGCAUCUUCUAUACAUAGUCAUUUCCUUCUACUCAAAAUGUAUGAAUAAACUUAAAUUUUAGUUAUAAUAGACCAAGAUGAAAAAAUAUUUAAUUAGUUUAUAAAUAAAAUAAUAUACAAAAAAAUUUGUUUUUGGUGUCUAUGAUGUUUAUUUUUCACAAUUAGAAGUUCUACAGUUGAAGAAGACAUAAUAAAAGUGCUCUUAUAAAUAUACAUUUAAUUGUUUAAUCUGUCUUCUUUUUUUAAUUUUUAUCUCCCUCUUUUACAAAUACUUACCCUUGUGGAAUUGGGCAAGUGUCUUACCUGUACUUGGUUCUGAAAAAUUUUCGGAUUAUUAAGGCAUUUGUUUUAGUCAUUAAUAGGUUAAUAAUGUUAAUCUAUUAUAAUUUUCAAGGAAUUUGUUUCUUCAAAAGUCAAUUAUUUGGCUCUUUACUUCUCUUCUUCAUUAAACUUUCCAACUGCUGUGCAGUGGCACAACAGUGUCUUUGUCAGUGGCUUAGAGGAGCUGUUUGUCAAUUGUUUUGCUUCAAGGACUGCCUCCUUUGUUGAUGUUCUUCCACAGAUUCAGAAGUACAUCAACAAAGCAGAAAACUAAAAAAAAAAAAUAUGAAAUUUUCAUUCAUGGAGUAUUUUUUGAGAGGAAAAGUUUUCAGAAUGCUUUAUUUAAAAACUUAUUUUUCUUCAUUGAUGAGUGAAUGUUCAACCCUUUUGCUUUCUCAUUGGCAACAGAAAAAUAAAAGACACUUUAAAAAUAGAAACAUUAUAAGAAUGGAAAUGAGUAGCCAGUCUAGGAUUGGUAAAAUGGCAGCAUUAGAUAUAAGGCAAAACGUAGUGUGAGAUUUGCUCUUUCAAAAACAAAAAGGGACACAGAAUGUCCAUUGUGAUCUGAUGAUAUCAACUGAAAAACGGGUUGCUAUUUAAUAGAAUUUUAAAACUUGAAGGGAUUUUAGAUAUCAUCUAAACCAGUCUAUUCCUUUCAUAGGCUAGGAAAUUGCAGCCCAGGGAAAUGAAGUGAUUGCCAGAUUCUGGAACGGGUGCCAAUAGAAAAUAGGAGGUAAAUGUAGUAUGCUAUUAUGGAAUACAGCUUGGCUCUACCAGGGGCUGGUGUCUUUGUUUUCCCCAUAUAUUUCUGUUGGUUGAGAAAUCAGCCAUCUCCUUCACAUAGUACCAUAUGGAGAUAAUUGUGAGGAAAAGAGUGAUUGAAUUUAUAGAUUCUUAACUUGUUUCCAUGUCUAUACAAUCGAAAUAGGAAAAUUUCACUUCUAUACAUUUAUUCCCUUUAGUCUCUUACUGUUCACAGAUCCUUGAUGAACUCUGACAUAUUAUAAUAUGCAAUUUAUAUAUCACUUAUUUAGACUACACAUUACUCUUUCCUUUGCCCCUUUUCCCUUCUGCACCUCUAAAUGAGCACAUAAAGUAACAAAAGAAUGAUAUAAAAUAGAUUUUUAAAAAUUCUCUCCAAGUAGAAAUUAGUAAACUAUGUUUCAUGGACAAAGUUCAACCUGCUCUCUUUUUAAUAAACUUUCACUGGAAGACAGCAAUAGUUGUAGAAUUGGAGGUGAUAAAAUAGUGCCAGGUGUACCUAAUUGUUCAGCUGCCAAAAAAGUAAGUUUCAAAAUGAGAGAGAUGGGCUUUAGGAGGACCAGUGUUUUCCAUUGGAGGAAAAACACAUUAAAAUUCUUCUCUUUGUAGUUUUGUCUUUUAUAAUUUAAUUUUAUUUUUGAAUUUGUUCUUUAGAUGAAUCAGAAGAGACAGAAUGAUUUACAUGAUCCAACAUGUUGAAAGAUGCUAGGAAAAACACUCUUGGAAUAAGAAGGAAAAUUUUAUAACAAAAUAACACAGUUUAUUGAAAACAUAAUUAACCUUGAAUCACUAUAUUCUUUGAGAAUAUGACAAACAGUUUGUGCCUUGUGAAAAUAUUCUUUUUUUAUAUAUUCAGUGCUGAAAGUUUUUUGUAUCCUUCUGCAAUAAUGGAUAAUAAGUACCAGAUUCCAUCCUUAUAUUUACAUGCUGCUGUUCACUGUGAGAAGGACCCAUCACGUGGAAUAGUAACAAAUAUCAUGUAGGAAUUUCAAACUGAUAUUUAUACAUGAAAUGUCAGUGAUAAUCGACAGGUACUCAAAUAGAUUUUUCAAAAUGCAUUUUCUGAGAAAUAAAUAUGUUAACCGACUGCCAUAUGCACUAGAUAUUUGUUUGGCAUUUGCCUAAUCAUACUCAAUUCAGAACAUCAUAGAAUAUUCAUGUAGAAGGAUCUUAUGCUCUUUUAUAUUUCUGUAUUUAUUGCUUAAAGAUGAUGAAACAUAGAGCCUGUUUGGAAAUGAUAUGUUGAAUCCUGAAAUUUAAAGGAAAUAAAAUGGGAGAUUUAGUGUUCUUAUAAAUGCAAAGCAAUAGAAUGUACAAAUAUGACAGGGGUUGUCAAAUUGGAUGUCCUGGAACCCCAGGGGACUUUGGGGGACCUUUAAAUACAGUUAUGCAAGAGCAAUUGCUCAGGUUCAUCCUCUGCUGCCUUAACAAGAACAUACCGUUAUACAGGUCUGUUUGAUAUUAAAUUCUGUAUAAAAUUUCAUUUGAAAAAUCAAAGACUGCCACCAUUUUGGCAAAGUAUGAAUGAAUAUAUGAAAGCAUUUAUAAAUGUUCCUGCUAUAGGUUAUUGAACAAAUCAUUUAACAAAGAAAAUAGUAGCAAUGUCAGAAUUUAUUGUUGAUUGACAUAUUUAUUUUUCAGCCAAAACAGGUCUUUACAUAAAUUGUUAUAUUGAAUAAUGUGAGAGAUAAUUAGCCACUGUCUCCAUGACCCAAUCUUCUAAUUAGCAAUGUAACGUGUAAGGAAAUACUUUCAUACUUUCAGAGUAAAUGCAAAAAUAACAAGGAUACCUUUAUUAAAAGGACAAAAAUAGACUUGGAGAUCUUGAACAGAUUUUAUGAGUUAUGCACUGAGCCAUACAGUUCAACCUUUUCAUUUUAUAGAUAAAGAUAGUAAAAUUUAAGAAUUCUCAAAAUUAAUGGCUAAAUGAGGGCUAGAGGACAGGUGCACGACUACCUUCAUAAGGUGUAUAGUAAGAAGCAAAUUCGAUUAGGAUUCAAAAAAUCUGGUUAGUUAUGUAAUAGCUCUCUAACUUUGAGCUACUUAAUUUCUCUGACAUCAAUUCAAUCAUCACUAGCAUGGGUAACUCAUAACUACAGCAUAGUGUUUUGUGCUAUAUGGCAUGAAAUGUUCUAUGUAUGAUUCCCCAGGUAAAUAUAAGGUAUUAUUAUUAGAAUAAAUUUAGAUAAGAUGUAAUUGCCAGUAUCUACCUUUUUGCUUAUGAAUAUAGCAGUUUCAUAUGGUUUGACUUAAUAUUAUCUUUGAUACUAUUAUACCACAAAUGAAUAUUUUAUGGUUUUUAUCUUAACUGCAGAGGGUUGAUUUAAUUUUAUGCCUUUUUUCUCAGGAUUCAUUAUUGUUUUUACUCCUAUUCAAGCCAUUAUCUUCACCUUCAUUUAUAUUUCUCUCUUUGGCAUAUACUAUAUAUGUAAUCAUUUCAUAACAUCCCAUUUCUUACUCUCAUUUACCUCUUCCCUCACAAGCCACCAUUUUAAUGUAUUUCAUGUAUGUCCUUUUAUUUGCAUGUGUCUUUAAAAUUUUUAAAUUGCCAUUAUUCUAUUGCAGUGCUUUGCAAAAUAUUUAAUUUACACUUUAAUUAGUAAACAAUAUGCUUUGGAUUAUCUUUUAUUUUUAGAGGAAAAAUGACAUGCUUUGCUAAAGUGUUUAGUAGUAUGAUAAGAGUAUAGAAUUAAUCAUAAAAACUGAAAAGGACAUAACUAUCACUGAAACAUGGGUAGGGUUGAGGUCCUUUUGACGCAUUGCUUCAUUUCUGCUUGGGAUUCAUGCAGGGUGUAGUUUUUAAAUGUUUUCCCCUUUUUCUUUGUUAUUUUCUGCUGCAAAUAUUCAGACAAACACACAUGAAAGUCUGAGCAUGAACACACACACAGUCAUGAACAUACAAACCCACAGAU
RNAcentral lists this long non-coding RNA (6499 nucleotides) under Sus scrofa (pig). RNAcentral describes it as "lncRNA (ENSSSCG00000055352.1)". Lineage: Eukaryota; Metazoa; Chordata; Mammalia; Artiodactyla; Suidae. The record is from RNAcentral.